Molecule: small nuclear RNA, 95 nt
Filed under: Microtus ochrogaster (prairie vole)
Lineage: Eukaryota; Metazoa; Chordata; Mammalia; Rodentia; Cricetidae
Source: RNAcentral
UUGCUCACCUCAGCAGCACAUACAGUAAAUUACAGAGAUUAGCAUGGCCCCGACACAAGGAUGACCCACGAAUUCGUGAAGAGUUCCAUAUUGUU